AUAAAUACAAAUUUUGAGUUAAUUAAUAAGUUUGAAAACAUGUAUUUUUCAUACUUAUCACAACUAAUGAAACAAACUCAGACUUACACAGAGUCCUAUAACCUUACCGGCUAAUGAAAAAACAUUCAUACUUACACAGAGUCCUACAACCUCCCUAACUAAUGGAACAAUUCUAACUCACAAAAGAUUUCUAUAGUCACUUCAACUAAUGAAAUAAACUUAUACUCACAA
RNAcentral lists this long non-coding RNA (231 nucleotides) under Vigna radiata. RNAcentral describes it as "long non-coding RNA (VRAD_LNC004040)". The record is from RNAcentral. Lineage: Eukaryota; Viridiplantae; Streptophyta; Magnoliopsida; Fabales; Fabaceae.